AGCUGUUCUGAAGGUAGUGAGUUAUUAAUAUCUCAGUUGAUUGUUCACAGUCAUUUAUAGAUCAAACUUCUUGUUCUACUCUUUCUCCCCUUCUCACUACUACAUUUGACUGGUCUUAA
Prolemur simus (greater bamboo lemur) is the source of this 119-nucleotide unclassified non-coding RNA. It matches the Rfam family "Y RNA". Rfam says of the family: Y RNAs are components of the Ro ribonucleoprotein particle (Ro RNP), in association with Ro60 and La proteins. The Y RNAs and Ro60 and La proteins are well conserved, but the function of the Ro RNP is not known. The record is from Ensembl. Lineage: Eukaryota; Metazoa; Chordata; Mammalia; Primates; Lemuridae.